UGGGGAAUAUUGCACAAUGGGCGCAAGCCUGAUGCAGCCAUGCCGCGUGUGUGAAGAAGGCCUUCGGGUUGUAAAGCACUUUCAGCGAGGAGGAAGGUGGUGGACUUAAUACGUUCAUCAAUUGACGUUACUCGCAGAAGAAGCACCGGCUAACUCCGUGCCAGCAGCCGCGGUAAUACGGAGGGUGCAAGCGUUAAUCGGAAUUACUGGGCGUAAAGCGCACGCAGGCGGUUUGUUAAGUCAGAUGUGAAAUCCCCGGGCUCAACCUGGGAACUGCAUUUGAAACUGGCAAGCUAGAGUCUCGUAGAGGGGGGUAGAAUUCCAGGUGUAGCGGUGAAAUGCGUAGAGAUCUGGAGGAAUACCGGUGGCGAAGGCGGCCCCCUGGACGAAGACUGACGCUCAGGUGCGAAAAGCGUGGGGAGCAAAACAGGAUUAGAUACCCUGGUAGGUCCACGCUGUAAAACGAUGUCGAUUUUGGAGGUUGUGCCCUUGAGGCGUGGCUUCCGGAGCUAACGCGUUAAAUCGACCGCCUGGGGAGU
This 539-nucleotide ribosomal RNA is filed under the name uncultured bacterium. RNAcentral's name for it is "partial 16S ribosomal RNA". It matches the Rfam family "Bacterial small subunit ribosomal RNA", at positions 355 to 881 of the family's 1533-position model. The record is from RNAcentral.